UGUAGUAGUUGUAUUGGAACCUGAGUUUUUUUGCAUUUUAAUAAUCACCACAUUAAAUAGGAAAUGCCUUCUCUCCACUGCCAAAGGAUGGGUUUUUCUGCUUCAGCUGAACAAGUGCCCAAGUCCUUCAUAUAUCAGCUGUUGGUGGCUCACAGUCUGGCUUCUGAGAAGAGCAAGAGGAGGAGAGCAAGGGCUGAAUAGGAAGUUGUCGAAAGACCAGGAAGGUUCAUGUGAGGCCUCUGAAUGGGACUAUCCUCCCAGGCAGUGAUUUGUUAACAUUCAGCUGCACAUGGGUGUCCUUCUUCUGCCCCAAUGGAUUCAAAUUUAAAGAAUUACCUGUUUCUGGUCUGUCUGGAAAGGGUCAAUAGAAAACAAGAUUCCAUUGGAACAUUGAAACAUGUCAUUGCAACACCCGUGGUCAGUGUUAUGUAUCUAAAACCAUGGCCCACUUUGAAUUUAGGCCAAACAGCCCUGCCAUGACAUGACACGGUUUUCUCUUGGUUGGGCACACCACUUAGCACAGAUGAGUUUGGAGGUGGAUGGGGAUUGUGGAGAGAUCAGGUUUUAAGGCUGUUGUGGAGACUUAGUUCAGGUGUCCUCAGAGACUGGAUAGCUGAUGGCUGCUUCAUCUUGGGAAGAAUGGUCAAGACUGGAUAAUACCACUCUGAACCUCAUCUGGCCUCUGGUGGUACCUUGCAAGCCUUGGGUUUCAGAGGAUUUCCCUGGUGUUUGAGAUUCCCAAAGCAUGAGGACUGCUGCUGAGCUUUGAGUGUGCCACCACUGACAGAAAUGUGAUGCUUAGCAAGAGCCUGGAGAUAUUUCCUCCUUUAGUCCCUUGUCUAGGAUGCAGAUAUGCCACUUUUCCCCAAACUGGGAAGAUGUUUUCUUUAGUCACUCAAUACCAGAAAACAAUGCAUUGGAGAGCAAGGGUUAGGGAGAGCUCAGUCUUGCCAUCUUCCCAGCGAGGAUAUGUCCCUUCCUUUUCACUUGUGUGUUUUCCCUGAAGCUACAAACUCAGGUUGCAGUUGGAUUUACUUAGUGUAACACUGAAUAAUCUCUCUUUCAAGGGCUUUAAGUACUACACUGAAUUAGGACUUUAGAAAGGUAAAAGCCGAGCUCCCUUUGCCAAAAGAAGCUUCCAUUCAUAGUCAGGAAGUGAUCUGACAUGGACACUGAUGACCUGCUUUGUUAUCUGUAUGUGAAAUCUGGCUCUGCUGAAACCAGUGGCAAAACUGCCAUUGAUUUUAAGAGUUCUGAAUUUCAUUUUCUGUAUGUUUAUUUGCAUUACUUUUUUUUUCCUGCAAUGUCUGAUAUGUAGCCAUAGAGGUCAGGAGGAAAAUAUGAUAUGAUUGAGACACAGUUUCCAUUAUGGUAAAGGGUGGGCAGAUGUCACUGUGGGAAGAUACAUUCAGAGUUUUGCCUGGCACUUUGAAAUGCUUUUAAUUUUUUCCUACCUGCCACGCUUCAGCCUUCGAGGUUAAACUUGUGUAUGAAUGGCAGGUCUUAUUAUUUUGAGUGUUCUGUGUUUUUCUUCAUUAUUUAGACACCAAACUUGCAAAACAUUCUUCUUAGCAGGGCAAUUCGUCCUCUACUGGAUCUUAAUGAGACCAGUGCUUCCUUUCCUGGGAAGGUAUGUGCCCCUGGUGAGAGAAGCUCACCUUUCUCAAACCACAGCUAAAGCUUGUUUUUUUCACAGAAGCACAAAGCACACAGCCACUUGUAAAGGUCAGUUUCCUUAGCAUGAAGAAAAUAUACAUUUUGUAAAUGUGGGACAGACAUGUUCUGAUGUGGGUCUUGAACAGGGUUUCAGUAUAGAGAUAGCUCAUCUUUAAUUUAUAGUUACAUGCAAUUGAACCAUUCCAGGAAAAGCCAUUUUGUGGUUCUUGGGUCAGGGAAGAAGAAGAAGGAUAAAAACCUUCUACCCUAAACAAUAAUAGGACAAACAGGACAGAUCUAUGUUCCCUAAAUGAAAACUUAGUAAAGAGCUCUUAAAAUGUUUCUUAUUAUUAAAAUCACUGAGAGAUUUGUGCUAAAACUCUUUCGGGUAUCAGCUCUUCUUUCUCUGGGAAAAAGAGAAAAACUCCUUUUUUUUUUUUUUUUGUUUGCUACCUCUG
Pyrgilauda ruficollis (rufous-necked snowfinch) is the source of this 2114-nucleotide long non-coding RNA. RefSeq lists it as uncharacterized. The transcript is spliced from 4 exons. Lineage: Eukaryota; Metazoa; Chordata; Aves; Passeriformes; Passeridae. The record is from RefSeq and is a predicted model, not a curated record.